CUCUAAUACAAUUUCUAGAUUACAUGUUUUACGGAAUAUAUACAAUGAAGGUAUUAGUAUUAAAGAGAUUUAUUCCUUCCUAAUUAAGGUAAAAACGAAUCAGCAAAUUGCAUAUUAGUAAACUUGAAACAAGGAGGAAUAUAUGCAAAUUGU
Molecule: non-coding RNA, 153 nt
Submitted as: unclassified sequences
Source: Rfam